This 376-nucleotide ribosomal RNA is filed under the name uncultured bacterium. RNAcentral's name for it is "bacterial SSU rRNA". It matches the Rfam family "Bacterial small subunit ribosomal RNA", at positions 524 to 898 of the family's 1533-position model. The record is from RNAcentral.
UACAGAGGGGGCAAGCGUUAUUCGGAAUUAUUGGGCGUAAAGGGCGCGUAGGCGGCUUGGCAAGUGGAUGGUGAAAUCCCUCGGCUUAACCGAGGAACUGCCGUCCAAACUGCUUUGCUUGAGACCGGGAGAGGUGAGUGGAAUUCCCAGUGUAGCGGUGAAAUGCGUAGAUAUUGGGAGGAACACCAGUGGCGAAGGCGGCUCACUGGACCGGUACUGACGCUGAUGCGCGAAAGCGUGGGGAGCAAACGGGAUUAGAUACCCCGGUAGUCCACGCUGUAAACGAUGAGUGCUUGGUGUAGCGGGUAUCGACCCCUGCUGUGCCGAAGUCAACACAUUAAGCACUCCGCCUGGGGAGUACGGUCGCAAGGCUGAA